This 486-nucleotide ribosomal RNA is filed under the name uncultured bacterium. RNAcentral describes it as "partial 16S ribosomal RNA". It matches the Rfam family "Bacterial small subunit ribosomal RNA", at positions 28 to 507 of the family's 1533-position model. The record is from RNAcentral.
GACGAACGCUGGCGGCGUGCUUAACACAUGCAAGUCGAACGCUGAGGGCCUGGCUUUUGUUGGGUUGGAUGAGUGGCGAACGGGUGAGUAACACGUGAGUAACCUGCCCUCUUCUUUGGGAUAACGCCCGGAAACGGGUGCUAAUACUGGAUAUUCACUGAUCUUCGCAUGGGGGUUGGUGGAAAGGGUUGUUCUGGUGGGGGAUGGGCUCGCGGCCUAUCAGCUUGUUGGGGGGGUGAUGGCCUACCAAGGCUUUGACGGGUAGCCGGCCUGAGAGGGUGACCGGUCACAUUGGGACUGAGAUACGGCCCAGACUCCUACGGGAGGCAGCAGUGGGGAAUAUUGCACAAUGGGCGAAAGCCUGAUGCAGCGACGCCGCGUGAGGGAUGGAGGCCUUCGGGUUGUAAACCUCUUUCGCUCAUGGUCAAGCCGCAACUGUGGGUUGUGGUGAGGGUAGUGGGUAAAGAAGCGCCGGCUAACUACGUG